This 252-nucleotide ribosomal RNA is filed under the name uncultured bacterium. RNAcentral's name for it is "partial 16S ribosomal RNA". It matches the Rfam family "Bacterial small subunit ribosomal RNA", at positions 524 to 776 of the family's 1533-position model. The record is from RNAcentral.
UACGGAGGGGGCUAGCGUUGUUCGGAAUUACUGGGCGUAAAGCGCACGUAGGCGGACCGGACAGUCAGAGGUGAAAUCCCAGGGCUCAACCUUGGAACUGCCUUUGAAACUAUCGGUCUGGAGUUCGAGAGAGGUGAGUGGAAUUCCGAGUGUAGAGGUGAAAUUCGUAGAUAUUCGGAGGAACACCAGUGGCGAAGGCGGCUCACUGGCUCGAUACUGACGCUGAGGUGCGAAAGCGUGGGAGCAAACAGG